RNAcentral lists this ribosomal RNA (662 nucleotides) under Salmonella enterica subsp. enterica serovar Stanley. Its description in RNAcentral is "partial 23S ribosomal RNA". It matches the Rfam family "Bacterial large subunit ribosomal RNA", at positions 2259 to 2915 of the family's 2925-position model. The record is from RNAcentral. Lineage: Bacteria; Pseudomonadati; Pseudomonadota; Gammaproteobacteria; Enterobacterales; Enterobacteriaceae.
UGGUGGGUAGUUUGACUGGGGCGGUCUCCUCCUAAAGAGUAACGGAGGAGCACGAAGGUUGGCUAAUCCUGGUCGGACAUCAGGAGGUUAGUGCAAUGGCAUAAGCCAGCUUGACUGCGAGCGUGACGGCGCGAGCAGGUGCGAAAGCAGGUCAUAGUGAUCCGGUGGUUCUGAAUGGAAGGGCCAUCGCUCAACGGAUAAAAGGUACUCCGGGGAUAACAGGCUGAUACCGCCCAAGAGUUCAUAUCGACGGCGGUGUUUGGCACCUCGAUGUCGGCUCAUCACAUCCUGGGGCUGAAGUAGGUCCCAAGGGUAUGGCUGUUCGCCAUUUAAAGUGGUACGCGAGCUGGGUUUAGAACGUCGUGAGACAGUUCGGUCCCUAUCUGCCGUGGGCGCUGGAGAACUGAGGGGGGCUGCUCCUAGUACGAGAGGACCGGAGUGGACGCAUCACUGGUGUUCGGGUUGUCAUGCCAAUGGCACUGCCCGGUAGCUAAAUGCGGAAGAGAUAAGUGCUGAAAGCAUCUAAGCACGAAACUUGCCCCGAGAUGAGUUCUCCCUGAGACUUUAGGUCUCCUGAAGGAACGUUGAAGACGACGACGUUGAUAGGCCGGGUGUGUAAGCGCAGCGAUGCGUUGAGCUAACCGGUACUAAUGAACCGUGAG